CGGGACCGAAGAGGUGACAGCCUCGGCGGGGCGGCGCUAGGCGGCAGUGACCGCCAGAGUCCCGGGUGCGUGUGCACGUGUGUGUGCGCACGUGUGCGCGCGCUCCGCCCGGUCCCGGGCAGCCACCUGUCACUCACGGGGGCAAAGGGGCCGCGGCGGAGAGGACGCAGAGGGGGCGGGGCGGCGGCCGGAGAGGGGCGGCGCCGAGGCCGGUCCCGCGGAGGCCCUCCCGGCGGAACCCCGCGUGCUGCAGCCAUGGAGACGCGGUAAUCCCCUCCUCCGGCCCGCGCCCCGGCCCCCGCAGCCGUCGCCGAUUGGUCGCCCUUUGCUCCCUGACCCUCUCGCCGCCUCCGAGGCCACCGCUUCCUGCUCGGUUGCCGCGCCGCGCUCCCGGCCCGGGGCGGAGCUCGGGCGCCGGGCGCGCGCCGCUUUCGCCGCGGCCGAGCAGCAGCCGGCGCCGGAGGAGGAGCCGCCGCCGCGCCCUUCCCCUUCCUCCGCUCCUCCCCCGGCCCUCUCCCCGCCCGCGCCGGCCCCAGGCAGCACUUGCGAGCAGCGGCGGCCGCGGCCGGCGGCCGAAAGGGGAGAAUGCGGCGGCGCUCGCGGAUGCUGCUCUGCUUCGCCUUCCUGUGGGUGCUGGGCAUCGCCUACUACAUGUACUCGGGGGGCGGCUCCGCGCUGGCCGCGGGCGCGGGCGGCAGCGCCGGCAGGAAGAUCUUUGGGGAGCGGGAAGUAAGUUUUGUAAGAUGUCGAUUUCAAAGCAGGCAACGCUGUGCUCCUGCCUUCUAGCAAAUCUGAGGCAGUUGGCUUGGUGGAAGGAAGAGGAGGAGGAGGUGGUGGUGGUGUUGAGGGUGAGGCCGCCUGGGGCAGAGACCGAGGCACACGCAGGAGUUGACUUUGAGGUUCUGGCUGAGAUCCCAGGAAAGACACAGGGUAUUCCUGGGGAAAAAAAUCUACGAAGUCUCCUAGCUGGCCCAGCAGAAUUUGUGUGA
RNAcentral lists this long non-coding RNA (989 nucleotides) under Ailuropoda melanoleuca (giant panda). RNAcentral describes it as "lncRNA (ENSAMEG00000030840.1)". The record is from RNAcentral. Lineage: Eukaryota; Metazoa; Chordata; Mammalia; Carnivora; Ursidae.